GUUUUAAUAAUUUAAAUAAAAUAUUGAUUUUGUAAAUCAAAAAUAAGAAUUCUUUUAAAACU
RNAcentral lists this transfer RNA (62 nucleotides) under Anadimonia potanini. RNAcentral's name for it is "tRNA-Thr". Lineage: Eukaryota; Metazoa; Arthropoda; Insecta; Coleoptera; Chrysomelidae. The record is from RNAcentral.